ACUCUCCCUUAUUCAACUUAUGUUCCAGUCCUCUUGAUCAAGCACCCUAGACUCCAGUCUCACACAUGCUCUCCUGACUUAUGCUGGUCCAUGCUGGGAGGAAGUCAGCUGACAUGUCAUGAGGAAAUUCAGGCAACAGAUGGAGAAAUCCUUGAGGUGAAGAACCAAGGCCUCGUGCCAACAGCCACACGAGUGAUUUUAGAAGCAGAUCCUUCAGCCUCAAUCAAGCAACCUACAGA
This is a long non-coding RNA of Diceros bicornis minor, 239 nucleotides long. RefSeq lists it as uncharacterized. The transcript has 3 exons. NCBI's taxonomy places the organism in Eukaryota, Metazoa, Chordata, Mammalia, Perissodactyla, Rhinocerotidae. The record is from RefSeq and is a predicted model, not a curated record.